This 73-nucleotide transfer RNA is filed under the name Sphingomonadales bacterium. Its description in RNAcentral is "tRNA-OTHER". The record is from RNAcentral. Lineage: Bacteria; Pseudomonadati; Pseudomonadota; Alphaproteobacteria; Sphingomonadales.
GGGUGGUUUAUUGGAUGGCCGCGCUACACGCGGCGGGGGAGGGUCGGCAGUUCGAGCCUGUCAUCGCCCGCCA